GCAAGUCGAACGAUGAACCUCUUCGGAGGGGAUUAGUGGCGAACGGGUGAGUAACACGUGGGCAAUCUGCCCUGCACUCUGGGACAAGCCCUGGAAACGGGGUCUAAUACCGGAUACGACCAUCUCGGGCAUCCGAUGGUGGUGGAAAGCUCCGGCGGUGCAGGAUGAGCCCGCGGCCUAUCAGCUUGUUGGUGGGGUGAUGGCCUACCAAGGCGACGACGGGUAGCCGGCCUGAGAGGGCGACCGGCCACACUGGGACUGAGACACGGCCCAGACUCCUACGGGAGGCAGCAGUGGGGAAUAUUGCACAAUGGGCGGAAGCCUGAUGCAGCGACGCCGCGUGAGGGAUGACGGCCUUCGGGUUGUAAACCUCUUUCAGCAGGGAAGAAGCGUGAGUGACGGUACCUGCAGAAGAAGCACCGGCUAACUACGUGCCAGCAGCCGCGGUAAUACGUAGGGUGCGAGCGUUGUCCGGAAUUAUUGGGCGUAAAGAGCUCGUAGGCGGCUUGUCGCGUCGGAUGUGAAAGCCCGGGGCUUAACCCCGGGUCUGCAUUCGAUACGGGCAGGCUAGAGUUCGGUAGGGGAGAUCGGAAUUCCUGGUGUAGCGGUGAAAUGCGCAGAUAUCAGGAGGAACACCGGUGGCGAAGGCGGAUCUCUGGGCCGAUACUGACGCUGAGGAGCGAAAGCGUGGGGAGCGAACAGGAUUAGAUACCCUGGUAGUCCACGCCGUAACGUUGGGAACUAGGUGUGGGCGACAUUCCACGUCGUCCGUGCCGCAGCUAACGCAUUAAGUUCCCCGCCUGGGGAGUACGGCCGCAAGGCUAAAACU
RNAcentral lists this ribosomal RNA (829 nucleotides) under Streptomyces sp. 3-145. RNAcentral's name for it is "bacterial SSU rRNA". It matches the Rfam family "Bacterial small subunit ribosomal RNA", at positions 57 to 901 of the family's 1533-position model. Lineage: Bacteria; Bacillati; Actinomycetota; Actinomycetes; Kitasatosporales; Streptomycetaceae. The record is from RNAcentral.